UGUCGGAGUAGACAGCCCGGUAGCUCGCCAGCCUCAUAAGCUGGAGGCCGGUGGUUCGAAUCCUCCCUCCGCAACCA
This 77-nucleotide transfer RNA is filed under the name Rhizobium leguminosarum. RNAcentral's name for it is "tRNA-Met". It matches the Rfam family "tRNA". From Rfam's summary of the family: Transfer RNA (tRNA) molecules are approximately 80 nucleotides in length. Their secondary structure includes four short double-helical elements and three loops (D, anti-codon, and T loops). Further hydrogen bonds mediate the characteristic L-shaped molecular structure. tRNAs have two regions of fundamental functional importance: the anti-codon, which is responsible for specific mRNA codon recognition, and the 3' end, to which the tRNAs corresponding amino acid is attached (by aminoacyl-tRNA synthetases). tRNAs cope with the degeneracy of the genetic code in two manners: having more than one tRNA (with a specific anti-codon) for a particular amino acid; and 'wobble' base-pairing, i.e. permitting non-standard base-pairing at the 3rd anti-codon position. The record is from RNAcentral. Lineage: Bacteria; Pseudomonadati; Pseudomonadota; Alphaproteobacteria; Hyphomicrobiales; Rhizobiaceae.